Molecule: long non-coding RNA, 1501 nt
Filed under: Lonchura striata (white-rumped munia)
Lineage: Eukaryota; Metazoa; Chordata; Aves; Passeriformes; Estrildidae
Description: domestica (Bengalese finch) lncRNA (ENSLSDG00000003822.1)
Source: RNAcentral
AUGGUGAGAGCACUUCCCUCAGCCUUCCCCUGGGACUCAGCAGCCAGGGCCUUUCCCUGCACAUCUGGACAGGCCAUGCCCAGCACAGAAGGAAGGGAUCCAUGGCAGCCUCGCUGUCCCAAUGCUGCUCUCACGGCCUGCAGGACUGUUUCCCAGCCUGGGCUGGUGGCAGCUUCUGCCCAGCCUCUGCAGGAAGGCAUUUGGCACCAGCUGACAGGGAGCCCCAACUGCAGCAUGGGCCAUGCACACGCUGAGGUCCCCUGCAGUUUCCCUGUCUCUGAGCAGAUCAGGAGGCACAGCUGUUUUCAAGGGAGUGCUACCCACAAAGGCGUGCUCUGGCCCAGUCCCAAGAGCUUGAGCCUUUUCUUGAUCCAUAUCAAUGUCUUUGACAAGCAUUGCCACAUGAAGAUGCCCCUUCCAUUAUGGGAAGCAGCCCCAGCUGAUCCAGCUUUGCCUCUUCCUUUCUGCAGAAGUGGAUGGAGAAGCUGUGCUGAGGGCUGAACUUUCCGGAGGAGGCUGUGAUUCUGUGCCAGCCUCUGCUGCAGGAAAGGAGGCGAUGCCAGGCACAGUCACAGGAGGUAAUUGCUGAGCCUCUCGGCCUGAGCCCUGCUGAGACUUGAGCUGCUCUCUCUGCUGCUUGGCAGUGCGGGCACAGCCCGGACAAGGCGGGCACAGCCCAGAGGAAUUGUUAUGCUCAGGGCACUUGGGUACUGAGCAGUCCUGCUGGGGUCCCUGCCUAGGAGGCACAUCCCAAAACCUGGGAGUGAUUGCACAGGGUGCCCAUGGUGGGGAUAGGGCAGAGGGGGAGAGCAAGGCUGCAGUGUGUCCUGAGAGAGCCUGGCUAUGUGCCGUUGGGCUGGGGGAUUUGUCCCAGCAGUAGGAGGGCAGCAGGGACAGAGGGAGGCAGGGAUAUCUGUGGCACUGCCUUCUGCAGUUUUCUCCUGGGCUUUAGAGAGGGUUUCCUCUGUGGGAGGAAGAGAGGCCCCAGGCUGCUCCAACUCCCCUCCACAGAUCUUGGUAGGGCCUGCAAAAUGGAUGGACUGUGACCAGGAGCAAGCCCAGGCCCCUGUGCACCUUUGGCCAUGUCCAUUUACAUUGGGAUCCCACGGUCUAACCCAACCCCCCUGCAGUGCUCAGUUCCUAAAGGCAGAAGGGGACCACAGCACACCAUGGAAAUGAUUCUGAUCUGUGCUCCCUUCUAGACUGGGAUGACAAUAUGGAUUAUUUGGAAGCCCUACUGGAAAAUGAGAUUAAGUUUGUGGAGGAUUUUGGAGGCACGUUUUCAGUCUACCUUUUCUGAGAGAAUAAUCAAUGUGACACGAGCUCCCCCAUCUUCCACUUCCCUCAACAUCACCUCAGGGUUGAAGGAAUCUGGGAGCCUCGCCCUGCUCCCUUUCUGGAGCCCUGAGUGAUCCCACAGGAUCACUGUCAGUGGGAGGAAGGAGCAUUUAGCUGUCCAUCUUCCUCCCAUGUGCAAUGCCGGAGUGUCCUUGUGUGUGCU